AUCGGUUCUUUCACUUAUACUGAGGGGCUGGGUCUCUGUCGCCAAGAAGCCAGCUAACAACCCCAGUGUGUCUGCUUGGAUGAGAAGGGGUGAAGACCUAGAAAGAAUGAGAUCUCCAGCAUUGCCGAGGCUGCUGAGAACCUGGACAUCCAAAUACAGAUGGGAGGACCACACGGAAUUGAAACAUAAAGGCAGACCUCAUCUGGAAAGUAUGAUAUCAAAAAGGAGGCAAUGCUCAUGCCCAUGGUUCAGAACUGCCUUCGCCAGUUAUAAUGACAAGUGAAGUUUCAAGAAAGAACCACCUGGAAUCUGACGCCCAGUGCUAAUGCUGAACUGAUUUGGCAGUUAUUCAAAUUCAAAGAGGCCACCCCAAAGGCACUCUUUCAGUUGGAGCAGAGCUAUUAGAAAUCACACCAUGAGCGCUUACUAUCAGUGGGACCAUAAGCUGAAGGCUACUGGCUUCUCCUAUUUAAUCCCUACAGCAACCUUGUGGCUCAGGUACUAUUAGGAUUCCUCUUUACAAAUAAGGAGACUGAGGAUUAAAGAGGUGACCUCACUUGCCCAGGGUCACAGAGCCAGGAAGCAAGCAGCGUUAGCCUUCACAUAUAGCAUGUGUUUUUCCAGAACCGCCAUUUUCUUCCCUAAGUUAUACUGAAGAGAGGGCUUGGUUAAGAAAACAGGCUGCUCACCCCUGCUUACCCAUGGUGAUAACAGAAAUCUAGGACUUUAAAGAAAUGUCCCUUAAGACUAUUUUAGAGACCUCUGUGACUCCUCAGUCUCCCAGGAAGAGGAUGGUUAUCCAACCUAUUUCUGACUUUAAUACUUUCUUCACAAACUCUUUAACACCCUGGGAAGAAAGACGCUAUGAAAAGUAAAUACACCAUCAUGUACA
Long non-coding RNA from Lagenorhynchus albirostris (white-beaked dolphin), 892 nucleotides. RefSeq lists it as uncharacterized. The record is from RefSeq and is a predicted model, not a curated record. NCBI's taxonomy places the organism in Eukaryota, Metazoa, Chordata, Mammalia, Artiodactyla, Delphinidae. The transcript is spliced from 3 exons.